UGGGGAAUAUUGCACAAUGGGCGGAAGCCUGAUGCCGCGACGCCGCGUGAGGGAUGACGGCCUUCGGGUUGUAAACCUCUUUCAGUAGGGACGAAGCGUAAGUGACGGUACCUGCAGAAGAAGCACCGCCUAACUACGUGCCAGCAGCCGCGGUAAUACGUAGGGCGCGAGCGUUGUCCGGAAUUACUGGGCGUAACGGGCUCGUUGGCGGUUUGUCACGUCGUCUGUUAAAUCCUAGGGCUUUACCCGGGAGGUGCAGGCGAUACGGGCUGACUUGAGUACUACAGGGGAGACUGGAAUUUCUGGUGUAGCGGUGGAAUGCACAGAUAUCAGGAAGAACACCGAUGGCGAAGGCGGGUCUCUGGGUAGUAACUGACGCUGAGGAGCGAAAGCAUGGGGAGCGAACAGG
Molecule: ribosomal RNA, 409 nt
Filed under: Verrucomicrobiota bacterium
Lineage: Bacteria; Pseudomonadati; Verrucomicrobiota
Description: Verrucomicrobia bacterium partial 16S ribosomal RNA
Rfam family: Bacterial small subunit ribosomal RNA
Source: RNAcentral